CCUACGGGAGGCAGCAGUGGGGAAUAUUGGGCAAUGGGCGAAAGCCUGACCCAGCCACGCCGCGUGAGUGAUGAAGGCCUUCGGGUCGUAAAGCUCUGUGGGGAGGGACGAAACAACCUCGGGAAUAAUACCCCGGGGUCCUGACGGUACCUCCUUAGCAAGCACCGGCUAACUCCGUGCCAGCAGCCGCGGUAAUACGGAGGGUGCAAACGUUGCUCGGAAUUACUGGGCGUAAAGCGCACGUAGGCGGUCUGCUGGGUCCGAUGUGAAAGCCCUCGGCUCAACCGAGGAAGUGCAUUGGAAACUGGCAGGCUCGAGUACGGAAGAGGGUCGCGGAACUCCCGGUGUAGAGGUGAAAUUCGUAGAUAUCAGAUAGAACACCAAGGGCGAAGGCAGCUCGCUGGCCCAAUACUGACGCUAAAGCACGAAAGCGUGGGGAGCAAACAGGAUUAGAUACCCCUGUAGU
RNAcentral lists this ribosomal RNA (466 nucleotides) under uncultured bacterium. RNAcentral describes it as "partial 16S ribosomal RNA". It matches the Rfam family "Bacterial small subunit ribosomal RNA", at positions 338 to 794 of the family's 1533-position model. The record is from RNAcentral.